GGGAGUUUUGUCUCCUAUUUUCAUCUUAAAGAUGGCCAAAGUUGUUUGGUUUAGCAUUUCAAAAGCAAAAUAAAUAAUGCAUUUGCUUCAGUGGAAAAAAACCCAGGCAAAUUUUCCAAACGCUUAUCUAUUCUCUAGAUGUUUAUGGACAUAUUACUCCAGUUUUUAAUGCCACAUACUCAAACUAGCAAUACUCAAACUAGGAAGGCCAAGUUCUGCCCACAGGGUAGCUGAAGUGCACAUUUCAACUCAGAGUUCAUUUGCCACCAGAUCCUGAUAGCCAUCGUGAUACUUUCAAGUGCCCAGGAUUUUCUGUUUUUUCACUUAGAAACGUGAUUACUUGACCGGGGCAGGUAUAUUGUAGGUAACUGGGGUAGGGUGGGCACACGAACCAGUGGACAGGAAGCAGGACACAGAGAAGACGCUUCCUGCCCUGGUCUGGAACUCCUCAACUGCCAAUCUUUGCUGAGGAUCAAGACACAUUUGUUUCUGGAAGGUGCUGGGGGAUUAGAAGGGGCCAUUUCAAUUUAAGAAAACAAAAGAUGAUCCUGUGAACACUGUAUCAGGCAUCAUUACUGGACUGAAAAAAGGAUCACUUGAUGGACAUGCCUGGCGUUUUGUUUAGAAGUAUUUCUUCUCUGGCCUUAGAAGAUUAGUUUUCAAAGCGAUGGUAAAAUCAUUGAUGUAUGUCUUUUCAAGAAAAAGAAAAAAAAAAGACUCCUAAAUGCCAAACAUUUGCUCUUUGGAGCAUAGCAAGAAGAAAGGGAGAGGACCAGACGGCCACAUCCUAAGAACAGAGUAUUGUCCAGGUAGCUGUCGCCCCAAAUGGGAUCUCUUUCCAGGUCUUUUUGUUAAAGCUUUUCUUUCCUAAAUAAAACUUAAUUUUCUCUCGCUAAUCUUUCCAGUGGGUGUCUGCCGCUUCCUCAUGCCUUGCUAUAAGAAAGCUCGUAAAAAGGAAGAAAUCUAAAACUAGAACAAUUCUAUAUUCACAGUUUCUCUGACAUUAAAAAGUACUCAAGAGAAGAGUUUUUUUUUUAAUUUAAAGAAACAUCUGUCCAACAUGGAUGAUUUUGAAGAAGAGCACUCCCCUUUGUCCAGAGCCAUAGAAAGAUAAUUUAAUUACACUUAUCAUUACACCCUCCCCAAAUUAGACUACAAAUGGAUCUUGAUUUCUCAUGAUUUUUUCACUUUACAAAAUAAUCUUAAAGUUUAGGAGGAAGAAAAGAUGCUUAAGAAUAAUCAAGAAUGCUUGGAAAAGAGGAAGAAAAAGGGAAAUUUCUCCUACUGAACCGGUAGUGCUGGGAAGGGAAGAGCGUGGUCCCUUUAAAUGACAGGGAAGUGGGGCAGGGAAGUGCUGGGUAGAGAAAGGCGAGGUCUCUGUCUAGGGCUCCACCCCCAGGGACCUAGGUGAGGACAGGCACUUCUGCCUUCAAGCCCAAAUGUUGCAUUUUCCAAGACCACCCUGGCCUGCCACACCCCCAUUCUGGGCCUAUAAAAACCCAAGACCCUAGCAGGCAGACACAAAAGCGGCUGGACGUCAUGAAGAACACAUGGACAGAAGACACAAGCAGCUGGUAGUGGAGAGCACACGGCGGAAUGACGCAGAGUUUUACUGGAGCAGGCCGCCAAAGGACCCGACUCCAGGGGAAAACCAUCUCCCUUCUUGCUCCCCCGUCUGCUGAGAGCUACUUCUGCUCAAUAAAACCUUGCACUCAUUCUCCAAGCCCAUGUGUGAUCCAUUCCCGGGAUACAGAAAGCCCUCUGUCCUUGUGAUAAAGAAGGGGGUCUAAUUGAACUGGUUAACACAAGCUGCCUAUAGACAGCAAACCAAAAGAGCACCCUGUAACACACGCCCACUUGGGUUUCGGCUGUAAACAUUCAUCCCUAGGCACUGCCAUUGGAUCGGAGGCCCACAGUCUGCCCAUGUCUACGUUCCCCUAGGAGGUUUGAGGAGCGGGUGGCUGAAAAAGCUAGCCACACCCCCAGCGCAUGCCCUGCAGGGGGGACAAAGGAAACUUUCCAGUUUCACUACCACCAUUAGAAUAUCUUACAAAGUCGGCUAGGCGUGGUGGCUCACGCCUGUAAUCCCAGCACUUCUGGAGGCUGAGGCCGGCGGAUCGCCUGAGGCCAGGAGUUCAAGGUCAGCCUGCUCAACAUGGCGAAAACCCAUCUCUACUAAAAAUAUAAAAAUGAGCUAGACAUGGUGGUGCAUGCCUGCAAUCCCAGCUACUCUGGAGGCUGAGGCAGGAGAAUUGUUUGAACCUAGGAGGCAGAGGCUGGACUAAUAAUCAUGCCCGUAUCUAAGCUAUUAUCUGUAAAAAGUUGUACCUAUUUGCAUUGCACUCUAGCCUGGGCGACAGAGCAAGACUAUCUUAUGGUAAUGGUGGCAUAGGAUUAAUGAAACGGAAUAGAAGUCCUAGAAAUAUUCCCAAGUAAAUAUAAGAAGUUUGUGUAUGAUAAAAGUGGCAUUUAAAAAUAAAAGGAAGAUGUAGUAUAUUAUUCAAUAUUUUGGUAUUGUGGCAACUGCCUAUUCGUUUAGGGGAGGAGACAAAAGGUAGUCUCUGAGUCAUACAAGUGAAAGUAUAAAUUUGAGGUUUAAUAAUAAGUAUUAAAAGGAAACAAUUAUAUAGAUGUAAUAUAUUUAUAAGUAUGAAAAACCAAGAAUAAAUUUUAGAUGUAAUAUAUUUAUACAUAUAAAAAACGAAAUGAUUAUUUUCUAAGAAUAUGCUGGUGGAUAUUUAUACAAUAUUGAAUUGGGAAAGCAUCAGUCCUGAGGCAAUAAUCAUAAAAUAAAUGAAUUAAGUUUACUACGGAAAUACUAAAAUUGUCUGCCCAUCAAAACAUACCAAAAAUUAUGACUAAGAAGAAAGGACAAAUUGGGUAACAUAUUUAAAUAUACAUAUACAUACAUAUAUAUACACACACACACACACAUAUAUAUAUACACACAUACAUACAAUAUGCUCAACAUAUAAAAAGUUUUAACAACUUUGUAAGAAAAAGAUUAACACGGAUAAUUUACAAAAGAAAAAUAAUGCAAUGAAAAAUAAUUUACCUACCUGCAUUAGGGUUCUCUUCGAGGGAAAAAAUAGGAGAUAUAUAUGUAAAGGGGAGCUUAUUAAGUAUUAACUUACGUGAUUACAAGGUCCCAAAAUAGGCUGUCUGCAAGCUGAGGAGCAAGGAGAGGCAAUCCAAGUUACAAAACUAAAGAACUUGGAGUCCGAUGUUUGAGGGCAGGAAGCACCCAGCAUGGGAGAAAAAUGUAGGCUGGGAAGCUAGGCCUGUCUCUCCUUUUCUGCCUGCUUUAUAUUCGCUGGCAGCUGAUUAAAUUGUGCCCACCAGAUUAAGGGUGGAUCUGCCUUCCCUGGCCCACUGGCUCAAAUGUUAAUCUCUUUUGCAACACCCUCACAGACACACCCAAGAUCAAUACUUUGUAUCCUUCAAUCCAAUCAAGUUGACAUUCAGUAUUAACCAUCAUACUAACCAAACAGCAUUUAAAAAUGUUUAAUACUCAGUAAUAGUUAGGAUGUGGAAGAAUGGGAAUUCUCACACACUGCUGAUUACAAUGCAAAUAGGUACAACUUUUUACAGAUAAUAGCUUAGAUACGGGCAUGAUUAUUAGUCCAGCAAUGCCACUUCUAGAAGUUUUUGCUAAGGAAAUAACCCUGGAUAUAAAUAAGAUUUAGCUAUAAAGAUGUCUGCAAACUGUUGUUUGCAAUAUUCAAAACAUUAAAAAAUAAUCCUGUAUGUAUACAAGAAGAUUAAGCAAUUAUUUAAAAUGUUUCUGUAGUAAAUAAUAUUUAAUAAGUAUUGUCAUAAUAUUUUGCCAAAUGAAAAAAAA
This 3841-nucleotide long non-coding RNA is filed under the name Homo sapiens (human). Its description in RNAcentral is "HSALNT0230996". The record is from RNAcentral. Lineage: Eukaryota; Metazoa; Chordata; Mammalia; Primates; Hominidae.